Molecule: ribosomal RNA, 301 nt
Filed under: uncultured bacterium
Lineage: Bacteria
Description: partial 16S ribosomal RNA
Rfam family: Bacterial small subunit ribosomal RNA
Source: RNAcentral
CAGCAGCCACGGUAAUACGUAGGUGGCAAGCGUUGUCCGGAAUUAUUGGGCGUAAAGGGCUCGCAGGCGGUUUCUUAAGUCUGAUGUGAAAGCCCCCGGCUCAACCGGGGAGGGUCAUCGGAAACUGGGAAACUUGAGUGCAGAAGAGGAGAGUGGAAUUCCACGUGUAGCGGUGAAAUGCGUAGAGAUGUGGAGGAACACCAGUGGCGAAGGCGACUCUCUGGUCUGUAACUGACGCUGAGGAGCGAAAGCGUGGGGAGCGAACAGGAUUAGAUACCCCCGUAGUCCCUGUCUCUUAUAC